UACAGAGGGUGCGAGCGUUGUCCGGAAUCACUGGGCGUAAAGGGCGCGUAGGUGGCGAGCCAAGUCCAUGGUGAAAGCUCGAUGCUCAACAUCGAGUCGGCCACGGAUACUGGUGCGCUUGAGCACUGUAGAGGCUAAUGGAAUUCCGGGUGUAGCGGUGGAAUGCGUAGAGAUCCGGAAGAACACCGGUGGCGAAGGCGACUUCCUGGCCUGUUCUUGACGCUGAGGCGCGAAAGCUAGGGUAGCAAACGGG
RNAcentral lists this ribosomal RNA (253 nucleotides) under uncultured bacterium. Its description in RNAcentral is "partial 16S ribosomal RNA". It matches the Rfam family "Bacterial small subunit ribosomal RNA", at positions 524 to 776 of the family's 1533-position model. The record is from RNAcentral.